AUGUUAAAACUUGGCAUGGUAUCAUCAUUUCACCCACAUAGCAUGUGCAAGAGAGUAGAGGGGGUUAGGGCAAAAACUAGAAGCACUUUGUGUACAAACUGGACAGUCUCUUUCGGAAUAUCAGGGCUUCGGACGAGAACUCAUCUGUUACACCGCCACUUCAUGUUUUCUAAACUUAUUACAACUCCAGACUAUUUUUGCGUUCAGUACGCACUAUUCAACGUCAUCACUUUUCAACACUUUGUGACAUCAUUUGCUGUUUUUCAGUCAUUUACCGAUUUGUUUUCAGAGCUAAAUGACCAUGAAAUUGAAAAUCGCUACAAAAUAAACUCUGAAAAUGUUGAAACUUGGCAUGGUAUCAUCAUUUCACCCACAUAG
Molecule: ribosomal RNA, 378 nt
Filed under: Triticum aestivum (bread wheat)
Lineage: Eukaryota; Viridiplantae; Streptophyta; Magnoliopsida; Poales; Poaceae
Description: partial small subunit ribosomal RNA
Source: RNAcentral